This 1389-nucleotide ribosomal RNA is filed under the name uncultured bacterium. RNAcentral describes it as "16S ribosomal RNA". It matches the Rfam family "Bacterial small subunit ribosomal RNA". The record is from RNAcentral.
AGAGUUUGAUCCUGGCUCAGGACGAACGCUGGCGGCGUGCCUAACACAUACAAGUCGAACGGGGUUUAUGCCUUCGGGUGUAGACCAAGUGGCGGACGGGUGAGUAACGCGUGAGUGACCUGCCUUACAGAGGGGGAUAACACUUGGAAACAGGUGCUAAAACCGCAUAAGACCACGGCCCUGCAUGGGGCUGGGGUAAAAUGAGCGAUCAGCUGUAAGAGGGGCUCGCGUCUCAUUAGAUAGUUGGCGGGAUAACAGCCCACCAAGUCAACGAUGAGUAGCCGGCCUGAGAGGGUGGACGGCCACACUGGGACUGAGACACGGCCCAGACUCCUACGGGAGGCAGCAGUGGGGAAUAUUGGGCAAUGGGGGAAACCCUGACCCAGCGACGCCGCGUGAGGGAAGAAGGUUUUCGGAUUGUAAACCUCUGUACUGCGGGACGAGGAGAAGACGGUACCGCAGAAGGAAGCCCCGGCUAACUACGUGCCAGCAGCCGCGGUAAUACGUAGGGGGCGAGCGUUGUCCGGAAUGACUGGGCGUAAAGGGCGCGUAGGCGGCGCGGUAAGACGGGUGUGAAAACCCCGGGCUCAACUCGGGGCAUGCAAACGAGACUGCCGUGCUGGAGUGCAGGAGAGGGAAGCGGAAUUCCUAGUGUAGCGGUAAAAUGCGUAGAUAUUAGAGGAACACCGGUGGCGAARGCGGCUUUCUGGACUGUAACUGACGCUGAGGCGCGAAAGCGUGGGGAGCGAACAGGAUUAGAUACCCUGGUAGUCCACGCUGUAAACGAUGGAUACUAGGUGUAGGGGGUAUCGACUCCCUCUGUGCCGGAGCGAACGCAAUAAGUAUCCCGCCUGGGGAGUACGGCCGCAAGGUUGAAGCUCAAAGGAAUUGACGGGGACCCGCACAAGCAGCGGAGCAUGUGGUUUAAUUCGACGCAACGCGAAGAACCUUACCAGGUCUUGACAUCCUGCUAAAGCAUAAGAAAUUAAGUGUGCCCUUCGGGGCGAGCAGAGACAGGUGGUGCAUGGUUGUCGUCAGCUCGUGUCGUGAGAUGUUGGGUUAAGUCCCGCAACGAGCGCAACCCUUACGGAUAGUUGCCAGCAGGCAAAGCUGGGCACUCUAUCAGGACUGCCGGGGACAACUCGGAGGAAGGUGGGGAUGAGGUCAAAUCAUCAUGCCCUUUAUGAUCUGGGCUACACACGUGCUACAAUGGUCGACACAAAGGGAAGCGAAGCCGUAAGGCGGAGCGGAUCUCAAAAAAGCGAUCUCAGUUCGGAUUGUGGGCUGCAACCCGCCCACAUGAAGCCGGAGUUGCUAGUAAUCGCGAAUCAGCAUGUCGCGGUGAAUACGUUCCCGGGUCUUGUACACACCGCCCGUCACACCAUGGGA